UAACAUAUUAAAACUUUGCAACAACGGAUCUCUUGGUUCUAGGCAUCGAUGAAGAACGCAGACGAACAUGCGAUAAGUAGUGUGAACUUCGCAGAAGUGUCAGUGAAUCAUCGAAUCUUUGAAGCGCACAUUGCGCCCUUCGGUAUUCCGUUGGGCAUGCCUGUUCGAGCGUCAUUUAAACCUUCAAGCUAUGCUUGGUGUCUAGGCGUGUUCUGUUCCGCCUCAGACGCGUGGACUCGCCUUAAAUUCAUUGGCAGCCGGUAUGUUGGCUUCGUGCGCAGCACAUUGCAAGCGACUUCAGCAUACCCCCUUCCACAAGCCUUUUUUUUAGCUUUUGACCUCGGAUCAGGUAGGGGAUACCCGCUGAACUUAAGCAUAUCAA
Molecule: ribosomal RNA, 382 nt
Filed under: Herpotrichia sp. IS-2011
Lineage: Eukaryota; Fungi; Ascomycota; Dothideomycetes; Pleosporales; Melanommataceae
Description: eukaryotic LSU rRNA
Rfam family: 5.8S ribosomal RNA (bases 13-174)
Source: RNAcentral